ACACGACUACAUUAGAUACCCGUGUAGUCCCAGCCCUAAACGAUGCGCGUUAGGUGUAUCGGUGACCACGAGUCACCGAGGUGCCGAAGGGAAACCGUGAAACGUGCCGCCUGGGAAGUACGGUCGCAAGGCUGAAACUUAAAGGAAUUGCGGGGGAGCACCACAACGGGUGGAGCCUGCGGUUUAAUUGGACUCAACGCCGGGAAGCUCACCGGAUAAGACAGCGGAAUGAUUGCCGGGCUGAAGACCCUGCACGACCAGCUG
RNAcentral lists this ribosomal RNA (264 nucleotides) under uncultured archaeon. Its description in RNAcentral is "partial 16S ribosomal RNA". It matches the Rfam family "Archaeal small subunit ribosomal RNA", at positions 719 to 982 of the family's 1478-position model. The record is from RNAcentral.